ACAUUAUUCAUGGUGCUGAGUUUUAUGCUCUGUUGUAUUAGUUCUACUUUUUGUUUUGAUAAUGACUGUGGUAACACUGCAUUUUGAAAGAGUGGAGAUCGAACAGGGGAGGUUGCUGUGAGAAAUUUUGUGGAUCUCAUCCAAACCCUUCUGCGGAGUCCUACAUACAGGUGGCAAUUCUUCAAGGACAUUUACCCAUUGCAUUACGGUCCCAAAUAUGACACUGCACUGCAGUCACUGGUGUGGGAAUUCCUGUGCAGACUGGAAAAGCUACUACCAGUGCCUAGCUUCCAUCAGGCAGCCUAUUGGUUUAAUGAAGACUCCUCACUCCUGGAUGAUUCCUUACAAAUCGUUUCUGACCCAAAGAAAAUUAAAAUCUUGUUGCUACACUUCAAAUGUUUUGCACACUUGGACCCAGGAUCCUCAUCUUCACCCAUUAUGGCAGACACUAUUCUCUCCACAUUAUCUGGAAAAGCUGAGAAAUGUCUGUCAACACCCCAUGAAACCAAAGGUUCAAUACAUGAAGCAGGUAGGCAUGGAGACAUGAA
Long non-coding RNA from Clupea harengus (Atlantic herring), 548 nucleotides. RefSeq lists it as uncharacterized. The transcript is spliced from 4 exons. The record is from RefSeq and is a predicted model, not a curated record. NCBI's taxonomy places the organism in Eukaryota, Metazoa, Chordata, Actinopteri, Clupeiformes, Clupeidae.